The sequence is a ribosomal RNA, 537 nucleotides long. The stretch from base 184 to 337 matches the Rfam family "5.8S ribosomal RNA".
CUCUCUGGCUUGGGGGCCUUCGGGUUUCUUACCCCUUUGCACCUUAUAAAAAUGGGUUGCGGGGAGGAGUCCCCCAAAAGGAGGUUUCCGGCCCUUUUCCCUCCGCGGGUGGGGCGCCCGCCGGAGGAUAACCAAACUCUGAUUUAACGACGUUUCUUCUGAGUGACACAAGCAAAUAAUCAAAACUUUUAACAACGGAUCUCUUGGUUCUGGCAUCGAUGAAGAACGCAGCGAAAUGCGAUAAGUAAUGUGAAUUGCAGAAUUCAGUGAAUCAUCGAAUCUUUGAACGCACAUUGCGCCCGCCAGCAUUCUGGCGGGCAUGCCUGUUCGAGCGUCAUUUCAACCCUCAAGCUCUGCUUGGUGUUGGGGCUCUACGGUUGACGUAGGCCCUUAAAGGUAGUGGCGGACCCUCUCGGAGCCUCCUUUGCGUAGUAACAUUUCGUCUCGCAUUGGGAUUCGGAGGGACUCUAGGAGUAAAACCCCCAAUUUUACUAAGGUUACGCUCGGAUCUAGUAUUCUCGUAGGGAAUCAUUGCGA